This 356-nucleotide transfer-messenger RNA is filed under the name Nevskiaceae. Its description in RNAcentral is "Stenotrophobium sp008012115 Standard tmRNA". It matches the Rfam family "transfer-messenger RNA". From Rfam's summary of the family: Bacterial tmRNA, also known as 10Sa RNA or SsrA, is named for its dual tRNA and mRNA-like properties. Its role is to liberate the mRNA from a stalled ribosome. RNAcentral also lists the same sequence under 1 other name. The record is from RNAcentral. Lineage: Bacteria; Pseudomonadati; Pseudomonadota; Gammaproteobacteria; Nevskiales.
GGGGCCGAUCCGGAUUCGACGGCGACUGGAAAGCUGACGUGCAUGCCGAGCUGCGGUGGAUCUCGUAAAACUCUUCCGCAAACAAGCUAGUUGCGAACGACGCGAACUACGCCCUCGCCGCUUAAUCCGGUGAGCGUCUGACCGGUUGGUGUUGAUACCGCCGAAUCAGACGUCGACUCAUAUCAACUCGCGGUGAGGCAGGUCACUGGCCAAUCCGCUAAAACCCUAAAGUGAAUAAGCGGCGGCGAUCCGUGCCCAUCCGGAAGCCACCGACCAAAAUCAAUGAACGGGCUACGCAUGUAGAUCGAAGGACGGAAGGUUGUCGGACGGGGGUUCAAUUCCCCCCGGCUCCACCA